GUCUAUGGCCAUGCUACCCUGACCAUGGCGGGAUUCUGUCUGAUCUUGGAAGCAAGGCCAGGCCUGGUUAGUAGUAGGAUGGGAGACCACCCAGGAAGACCAGGUGCUGUAGACG
Molecule: ribosomal RNA, 115 nt
Filed under: Pteropus alecto (black flying fox)
Lineage: Eukaryota; Metazoa; Chordata; Mammalia; Chiroptera; Pteropodidae
Also listed under: 1 other name
Source: RNAcentral